UAUAGUGAACGUGUAAUCUGCUUCGGGUCCUUGCUUGCGUUUUGGGCUAAUACGGGAAUGCAACGCUGGAAGCACAGAUUUUCUCCAUGGUUGUGUCCAAGAGAACGAGUAUUGAUGAAAGCUGGUUAAGUUUGACGCACUUUUCAGCUGCUAUUAUCUACCUUAGGUUAUGCCAAUUUCCUGUUAGCACGGGCUUACGUUAAAACUGAUGCAGUGGGACGGACACGUGAUUCCUAGUGUCUAGUGGCAGUUCCACUAUGUCCAGAGUAGUUUGGCUGAACCAUUAGUACGUAGAUGGCUGAAAAAGCUGGCAUUUAAGAGCACAACAGGCGAACUGUUGUACAAACUGUGCCGAAACGAAGCGAGAAACUUGACUGGCGAAUGGUCACAACUCAAAGCUGACAGUUCUGUUGGUAAUGGUGUUGAUUUGAAUGUUACUUGUCAAUUGCAGAAUAAGUGAACAUAAAAAUUUAGUUGUGCAUUUUAUUCUGAAGUGGUCUCAAUAUA
Long non-coding RNA from Macrobrachium nipponense, 507 nucleotides. RefSeq lists it as uncharacterized. Lineage: Eukaryota; Metazoa; Arthropoda; Malacostraca; Decapoda; Palaemonidae. The record is from RefSeq and is a predicted model, not a curated record. The transcript is spliced from 3 exons.